CCUACGGGCGGCAGCAGUGGGGAAUAUUGGACAAUGGGCGAAAGCCUGAUCCUGCCAUGCCGCGUGUGUGAAGAAGGCCUUCGGGUUGUAAAGCACUUUCAGUGGGGAAGAAAGCCUUGGGGCUAAUACCCUCGAGGAAGGACAUCACCCACAGAAGAAGCACCGGCUAACUCCGUGCCAGCAGCCGCGGUAAUACGGAGGGUGCGAGCGUUAAUCGGAAUUACUGGGCGUAAAGCGCGCGUAGGCGGUCUGAUAAGCCGGUUGUGAAAGCCCCGGGCUCAACCUGGGAACGGCAUCCGGAACUGUCAGGCUAGAGUGCAGGAGAGGAAGGUAGAAUUCCCGGUGUAGCGGUGAAAUGCGUAGAGAUCGGGAGGAAUACCAGUGGCGAAGGCGGCCUUCUGGACUGACACUGACGCUGAGGUGCGAAAGCGUGGGUAGCAAACAGGAUUAGAUACCCCAGUAGUC
This 465-nucleotide ribosomal RNA is filed under the name Vreelandella stevensii. RNAcentral describes it as "partial 16S ribosomal RNA". It matches the Rfam family "Bacterial small subunit ribosomal RNA", at positions 338 to 795 of the family's 1533-position model. The record is from RNAcentral. Lineage: Bacteria; Pseudomonadati; Pseudomonadota; Gammaproteobacteria; Oceanospirillales; Halomonadaceae.